CGCCUGUUUAUCAAAAACAUUCUUAGGUUUUAUUUGAAGUCUACCUGCUCAAUGAUUAAUUAAAUAGCCGCGGUAAUUUAACUGUGCAAAGGUAGCAUAAUAAUUAGUCUUUUAAUUGAGGUCUAGAAUGAAUGGUUGGGCGAAAAAAAUGCUUUAUUUGAUUUAUUUAUUUAAUUUAACUUCAUUGUUAAAAUGCAAUGAUUUUUUAAAGUGACGAUAAGACCCUAUAGAUCUUUAUUUUUUUCUAUUUUUUUUUUUUUGUUGAUUUUAUGUAUUUUUAGUUUAAAAAAUUUUGUUGGGGUGAUAAUUAAAAAUUUUAUCUUUAAUUUUUUUUUACAUUUAUUUAUGUUUAGUUUGAACCUUAAUUUUUGUUUAAAAGAACAAGAUACCUUAGGGAUAACAGCGUAAUUUAUUUGGAUAGUUCAUAUUGAUAAAUAUAAUUGCGACCUCGAUGUUGGAUUAAAAUUUUUUUGUGGGGUAGGUUUCACAAUAAUAGGUCUGUUCGACUUUAAAAUUUUACAUGAUCUGAGUUCAGACCGG
This 540-nucleotide ribosomal RNA is filed under the name Ossoides lineatus. RNAcentral describes it as "partial 16S ribosomal RNA". It matches the Rfam family "Bacterial large subunit ribosomal RNA", at positions 1797 to 2619 of the family's 2925-position model. Lineage: Eukaryota; Metazoa; Arthropoda; Insecta; Hemiptera; Tropiduchidae. The record is from RNAcentral.